This 204-nucleotide long non-coding RNA is filed under the name Phaseolus vulgaris (common bean). RNAcentral's name for it is "long non-coding RNA (PVUL_LNC002174)". The record is from RNAcentral. Lineage: Eukaryota; Viridiplantae; Streptophyta; Magnoliopsida; Fabales; Fabaceae.
UUUGGAGUAACUUAAACGUUACAUUUCACGACUCAAGAAGCGCCAACUAAGGGCCGCAGGAUCAGGCCACGCGUCAGAGGAUCGAUUGCCCAGGGGAAGCGCAAAGGUCUCUAAAGGAGGGCCACGCGAUGGGCCACGUGGCGCGCGAUCAAGGGUAGCCCAAAAGGCGUAAUCAUCCCCAUUUCAGGGAAUGUCCAAUCGGUC